UACGGGGGGGGCAAGCGUUGUUCGGAAUUACUGGGCGUAAAGGGCUCGUAGGCGGCCAACUAAGUCAGACGUGAAAUCCCCAGGCUUAACCUGGGAACUGCGUCUGAUACUGGGUGGCUUGAAUCCGGGAGAGGGAUGCAGAAUUCCAGGUGUAGCGGUGAAAUGCGUAGAUAUCUGGAGGAAUACCGGUGGCGAAGGCGGCAUCCUGGACCGGCAUUGACGCUGAGGAGCGAAAGCUAGGGGAGCAAACGGG
This 253-nucleotide ribosomal RNA is filed under the name uncultured bacterium. Its description in RNAcentral is "partial 16S ribosomal RNA". It matches the Rfam family "Bacterial small subunit ribosomal RNA", at positions 524 to 776 of the family's 1533-position model. The record is from RNAcentral.